GAUGAACGCUGGCGGCGUGCCUAAUACAUGCAAGUCGAGCGAACGGACGAGAAGCUUGCUUUUCUGAUGUUAGCGGCGGACGGGUGAGUAACACGUGGAUAACCUACCUAUAAGACUGGGAUAACUUCGGGAAACCGGAGCUAAUACCGGAUAAUAUUUUGAACCGCAUGGUUCAAAAGUGAAAGACGGUCUUGCUGUCACUUAUAGAUGGAUCCGCGCUGCAUUAGCUAGUUGGUAAGGUAACGGCUUACCAAGGCAACGAUGCAUAGCCGACCUGAGAGGGUGAUCGGCCACACUGGAACUGAGACACGGUCCAGACUCCUACGGGAGGCAGCAGUAGGGAAUCUUCCGCAAUGGGCGAAAGCCUGACGGAGCAACGCCGCGUGGGUGAUGAAGGUCUUCGGAUCGUAAAACUCUGUUAUUAGGGAAGAACAUGUGUGUAAGUAACUGUGCACAUCUUGACGGUACCUAAUCAGAAAGCCACGGCUAACUACGUG
Molecule: ribosomal RNA, 497 nt
Filed under: uncultured bacterium
Lineage: Bacteria
Description: partial 16S ribosomal RNA
Rfam family: Bacterial small subunit ribosomal RNA
Source: RNAcentral